RNAcentral lists this transfer RNA (68 nucleotides) under Hydroptila angulata. Its description in RNAcentral is "tRNA-Gln". Lineage: Eukaryota; Metazoa; Arthropoda; Insecta; Trichoptera; Hydroptilidae. The record is from RNAcentral.
UAUAUAUAAGUGUUUGAGCACUAAAAUUUUUGAAAUUUUAAGGCAUGGUUUAAUUCUGUGAUAUAUAA